Molecule: ribosomal RNA, 749 nt
Filed under: uncultured bacterium
Lineage: Bacteria
Description: bacterial SSU rRNA
Rfam family: Bacterial small subunit ribosomal RNA
Source: RNAcentral
AGAGUUUGAUCCUGGCUCAGAGCGAACGCUGCGGCAUGCUUAACACAUGCAAGUCGCACGGCCGGGGGGAGACUUCCGGCAGUGGCGGACGGGUGAGUAACGCGUAGGCAUCUAUCCCUGGGUGGGGGACAACCGUGGGAAACCGCGGCUAAUACCGCAUGACGACUGAGGUCCAAAGGCCUGUGAGGGCCGCCUGGGGCGGAGCCUGCGUCCGAUUAGCUAGUUGGCGGGGUAAGAGCCCACCAAGGCGUCGAUCGGUAGCUGGUCUGAGAGGAUGAUCAGCCACACUGGGACUGAGACACGGCCCAGACUCCUACGGGAGGCAGCAGUGGGGAAUAUUGGACAAUGGGCGCAAGCCUGAUCCAGCAAUGCCGCGUGGGUGAAGAAGGUCUUCGGAUUGUAAAGCCUUUCGGCGGGGACGAUGAUGACGGUACCCGCAGAAGAAGCCCCGGCUACUUCGUGCCAGCAGCCGCGGUAAUACGAAGGGGGCUAGCGUUGCUCGGAAUGACUGGGCGUAAAGGGCGCGUAGGCGGCUAUUGCAGUCAGGCGUGAAAUUCCUGGGCUCAACCUGGGGGCUGCGCUUGAGACGUGAUGGCUUGAGUGGGGAAGAGGGUCGUGGAAUUCCCAGUGUAGAGGUGAAAUUCGUAGAUAUUGGGAAGAACACCGGGCGAAGGCGGCGACCUGGUCCUUGACUGACGCUGAGGCGCGAAAGCGUGGGGAGCAAACAGGAUUAGAUACCCUCGUAGUCC